RNAcentral lists this ribosomal RNA (466 nucleotides) under uncultured bacterium. Its description in RNAcentral is "partial 16S ribosomal RNA". It matches the Rfam family "Bacterial small subunit ribosomal RNA", at positions 29 to 507 of the family's 1533-position model. The record is from RNAcentral.
UAUGAACGCUGGCGGCGUGCUUAACACAUGCAAGUCGAACGAUGAAGCCCAGCUUGCUGGGUGGAUUAGUGGCGAACGGGUGAGUAACACGUGAGUAACCUGCCCUUAACUCUGGGAUAAGCCUGGGAAACUGGGUCUAAUACCGGAUAGGAGCGUCCACCGCAUGGUGGGUGUUGGAAAGAUUUAUCGGUUUUGGAUGGACUCGCGGCCUAUCAGCUUGUUGGUGAGGUAAUGGCUCACCAAGGCGACGACGGGUAGCCGGCCUGAGAGGGUGACCGGCCACACUGGGACUGAGACACGGCCCAGACUCCUACGGGAGGCAGCAGUGGGGAAUAUUGCACAAUGGGCGCAAGCCUGAUGCAGCGACGCCGCGUGAGGGAUGACGGCCUUCGGGUUGUAAACCUCUUUCAGUAGGGAAGAAGCGAAAGUGACGGUACCUGCAGAAGAAGCACCGGCUAACUACGUG